This 173-nucleotide long non-coding RNA is filed under the name Ictidomys tridecemlineatus (thirteen-lined ground squirrel). Its description in RNAcentral is "lncRNA (ENSSTOG00000031079.1)". Lineage: Eukaryota; Metazoa; Chordata; Mammalia; Rodentia; Sciuridae. The record is from RNAcentral.
CAAAUUUGUGUUGAGUGGGAUGAGCAGGCCCCUGUCGGGGUUCGAGGGGCCUCAAACAUCGCAGGCCCGCACCUGCAAUGACCCCCAAAGAAACCAAACCUAAAGGCCAGUGGGCGUGGAUUGCCAGGGCCCCACAGUUGAAUGUAGUUUUGAUUAAAGAAAGUGGGCCGGAU